AAACCCCUCUUACCAGUUAGGUAGGGACUUGUCGUUAGGGUGUGCUUCGGUGCAUCCCUCGACUAAAAGCAGUAGGCUUGAUCAGGCUAGUGGCCUGGGACAUUGUGUGCUAGAGACGUCGCUUCGGCUGACUGUCUUCUCACGAUGCGUCCUAGGCUAUUCAAGCUAGCUUGAUUUUGGCCUCUACAGUGAGUGCUACCCUCGGGUAGUGCCUACAACCCCAUA
This 225-nucleotide unclassified non-coding RNA is filed under the name uncultured Rozellomycota. Its description in RNAcentral is "uncultured Cryptomycota sequence contains ITS2". Lineage: Eukaryota; Fungi; Rozellomycota. The record is from RNAcentral.